This 397-nucleotide ribosomal RNA is filed under the name uncultured bacterium. Its description in RNAcentral is "partial 16S ribosomal RNA". It matches the Rfam family "Bacterial small subunit ribosomal RNA", at positions 523 to 918 of the family's 1533-position model. The record is from RNAcentral.
AUACGUAGGUGGCGAGCGUUGUCCGGAAUGAUUGGGCGUAAAGGGCGCGUAGGCGGCCCGGUAAGUCUGGAGUGAAGGUCCUGUUUUUAAGAUGGGAAUUGCUUUGGAUACUGUCGGGCUUGAGUGCAGGAGAGGUAAGUGGAAUUCCCAGUGUAGCGGUGAAAUGCGUAGAGAUUGGGAGGAACACCAGUGGCGAAGGCGACUUACUGGACUGUAACUGACGCUGAGGCGCGAAAGUGUGGGGAGCAAACAGGAUUAGAUACCCUGGUAGUCUACACUGUAAACGAUGAAUGCUAGGUGUAGGGGGUAUCGACCCCUUCUGUGCCGCAGUCAACACAAUAAGCAUUCCGCCUGGGGAGUACGGCCGCAAGGUUGAAACUCAAAUGAAUUGGCGGGG